Molecule: long non-coding RNA, 227 nt
Filed under: Mytilus galloprovincialis (Mediterranean mussel)
Lineage: Eukaryota; Metazoa; Mollusca; Bivalvia; Mytilida; Mytilidae
Source: RNAcentral
AAUAAAUAGCAUGUUUUUGACGAAGGAGAAGAAUGAAAAGAGAAUAACUCACAUUUAUCGAACACGUGAACUGCUUUUCAUGAAUACUGUAAUGCAGAUCGAAAUUAUAGUUAACGAUCUUCAUUUGGUAGCUUAUGAAGCAGUUUCACUCUUGUCUUACACUAGAAAAGGUCCGACAAACAUGCGAAAGAUGAUGUAAACAAAUCAUGGAAAAGGGGAAAUUUAAA